Molecule: non-coding RNA, 93 nt
Organism: Paramuricea clavata
Lineage: Eukaryota; Metazoa; Cnidaria; Anthozoa; Malacalcyonacea; Plexauridae
Source: the annotation of a GenBank genome assembly
UAGUGAAGAUUAUGGUCAUGACUAUUAAGAUUAUAGUCAUGAAUAUUAAGACUAUAGUCUUCACUAUAGUCUUAAUCGUCAUGACUAUAGUCC